CUUGGUCAUUUAGAGGAAGUAAAAGUCGUAACAAGGUUUCCGUAGGUGAACCUGCGGAAGGAUCAUUACUGAUUUGCUUGAGAUGUGCUGGCAUUCAUUGCAUGUGCGCUCUUAUUCAUAUCUCUCACCUGUGCACUAUUAGGGCCAGUAAUGGCCCGAGUGGACUUAUAAGUCUGCGUCAAAUACCUUUUACUCGUGUAUAUAGAAUGUCAUAUUAUUAAAACAAAUUAUAACUUUCAACGACGGAUCUCUUGGUUCUCGCAUCGAUGACGAACGCAGCGAACAGCGAUAUGUAAUGUGAAUUGCAGAUCUCAGUGAAUCAUCGAAUCUUUGAACGCACCUUGCACCCUUUGGUAUUCCGAAGGGUAUGCCUGUUUGAGUGUCAUUAAUAUCAUCAACUAUAGUUCUUUGUGACUAUAACUUGGAUUUGGAGGUUGCUGGCUGCAAAGUCAGCUCUUCUUAAAUGCAUUAGCGGUACUAGCUGAAUCGGCUUCGGUUUGAUAGAAAUAUCUAUGCUGUCGCUGAGGAACAUUUGUACAGCUUACAAUUGUCUUCGGACUGCUUUUCAAGCACACAUUGACUCUUGACCUCAAAUCAGGUAGGACUACCCGCUGAACUUAAGCAUAUCAGUAAGCGGAGGAAAAGAAACUAACAAGGAUUCCCCCAGUAACUGCGAGUGAAGAGGGAAGAGCUCAAAUUUAAAAUCUGAUAGUCUCUGGCUGUCCGAGUUGUAAAUUAGAGAAGUGCUAUCCGCACUGGCCUGUGUACAAGUCUUUUGGAAAAAAGCAUCAUAGAGGGUGACAAUCCCGUCUAUUGACACAGACUCCCAGGGCUUAUGUGAUGCGCUCUCGACGAGUCGAGUUGUUUGGGAAUGCAGCUCUAAUUGGGUGGUAAAUUCCAUCUAAAGCUAAAUAUUGGCGAGAAACCGAUAGCGAACAAGUACCGUGAGGGAAAGAUGAAAAGAACUUUGGAAAGAGAGUUAAACCGUAUGUGAAAUCGUUGGAAGGGAAACGCUUAAAGUCAGUCGUCUUUGUUGGGGAUCAGCUUGGCACUUGUGUCUUGCGUACUUCCUAGCAGAGGGGUCAGCAUCAAUUUGGAUGGCUGGAUAAAGGCUCGAUGAAUGUGGCAUCUUCGGAUGUGUUAUAGCUUCGAGUCGGAUACAGUCGUUUGGAUUGAGGAACUCAGUGUGAAUCUGGGGCUUCGGCUCACAACCCGCACUUGGGAUGCUGGCAUAAUGGCUUUAAUCGACCCGUCUUGAAACACGGACC
RNAcentral lists this ribosomal RNA (1268 nucleotides) under uncultured fungus. Its description in RNAcentral is "eukaryotic LSU rRNA". The stretch from base 585 to 1268 matches the Rfam family "Eukaryotic large subunit ribosomal RNA", at positions 1 to 667 of the family's 3401-position model. Lineage: Eukaryota; Fungi. The record is from RNAcentral.